AGGACGAACGCUGGCGGCGUGCUUAACACAUGCAAGUCGAGCGGAAAGGCCCUUCGGGGUACUCGAGCGGCGAACGGGUGAGUAACACGUGAGUAACCUGCCCUUGGCUCUGGGAUAGCUCCGGGAAACCGGAAUUAAUACCGGAUAUGACUUCGGCCGACAUCGGCUGCGGUGGAAAGAUUUAUCGGCCAGGGAUGGGCUCGCGGCCUAUCAGCUUGUUGGUGGGGUAACGGCCUACCAAGGCGACGACGGGUAGCCGGCCUGAGAGGGCGACCGGCCACACUGGGACUGAGACACGGCCCAGACUCCUACGGGAGGCAGCAGUGGGGAAUAUUGCGCAAUGGGCGAAAGCCUGACGCAGCGACGCCGCGUGGGGGAUGAAGGCCUUCGGGUUGUAAACCCCGUUUCGGCAGGGACGAAGCGAAAGUGACGGUACCUGCAGAAGAAGCGCCGGCUAACUACGCGCCAGCAGCCGC
RNAcentral lists this ribosomal RNA (476 nucleotides) under uncultured bacterium. RNAcentral describes it as "SSU rRNA". It matches the Rfam family "Bacterial small subunit ribosomal RNA", at positions 26 to 518 of the family's 1533-position model. The record is from RNAcentral.